AACGUACGCUGGCGGCACGCCUAACACAUGCAAGUCGAACGAAGUAGCAAUACUUAGUGGCAGACGGGUGAGUAACAUGUAGGUAUCUGCCCUUUGGCCUGGAAUAACACGAGGAAACUUGUGCUAAUACCGGAUAAGUCUUUACGGAGAAAGCUUUAUGCACCAUUGGAUGAGCCUGCACUUGAUUAGUUUGUUGGUGGGGUAAUGGCCUACCAAGACUGUGAUCAAUAGCUGAUUUGAGAGGAUGAUCAGCCACAUUGGGACUGAGACACGGCCCAAACUCCUACGGGAGGCAGCAGUGGGGAAUCUUGCACAAUGGAGGAAACUCUGAUGCAGCGAUGCCGCGUGAGUGAAGAAGGCCCUUGGGUUGUAAAGCUCUUUCGUCGGGGAAGAAAAUGACUGUACCCGAAUAAGAAGGUCCGGCUAACUUCGUGCCAGCAGCCGCGGUAAUACGAAGGGACCUAGCGUAGUUCGGAAUUACUGGGCUUAAAGAGUUCGUAGGUGGUUGAAAAAGUUAGUGGUGAAAUCCCAGAGCUUAACUCUGGAACUGCCAUUAAAACUUUUCAGCUAGAGUAUGAUAGAGGAAAGCAGAAUUUCUAGUGUAGAGGUGAAAUUCGUAGAUAUUAGAAAGAAUACCAAUUGCGAAGGCAGCUUUCUGGAUCAUUACUGACACUGAGGAACGAAAGCAUGGGUAGCGAAGAGGAUUAGAUACCCUCGUAGUCCAUGCCGUAAACGAUGUGUGUUAGACGUUGGAAAUUUAUUUUCAGUGUCGCAGGGAAACCGAUAAACACACCGCCUGGGGAGUACGACCGCAAGGUUAAAACUCAAAUGAAUUGACGGGGACCCGCACAAGUAGUGGAGCAUGUGGUUUAAUUCGAAGAUACGCGCAGAACCUUACCAACACUUGACAUGUUCGUCGCGACUCUAAGAGAUUAGAGUUUUCGGUUCGGCCGGACGAAACACAGGUGCUGCAUGGCUGUCGUCAGCUCGUGUCGUGAGAUGUUGGGUUAAGUCCCGCAACGAGCGCAACCCUCACUUUUAGUUGCCAUCAUUAAGUUGGGCACUCUGAAAGAACUGCCAGUGAUAAGCUGGAGGAAGGUGGAGAUGACGUCAAGUCCUCAUGGCCCUUACGUGUUGGGCUACACACGUGCUACAAUGGUAUCUACAACAGGAAGCAAGACUGCGAAGUUAAGCAAAUCCCUAAAAGAUACCUCAGUUCGGAUUGCACUCUGCAACUCGAGUGCAUGAAGCUGGAAUUACUAGUAAUCGUGGAUCAGCGUGCCACGGUGAAUGCGUUCCCGGGUCU
RNAcentral lists this ribosomal RNA (1306 nucleotides) under uncultured bacterium. Its description in RNAcentral is "bacterial SSU rRNA". It matches the Rfam family "Bacterial small subunit ribosomal RNA", at positions 28 to 1381 of the family's 1533-position model. The record is from RNAcentral.